This 203-nucleotide ribosomal RNA is filed under the name uncultured bacterium. Its description in RNAcentral is "partial 16S ribosomal RNA". It matches the Rfam family "Bacterial small subunit ribosomal RNA", at positions 1300 to 1500 of the family's 1533-position model. The record is from RNAcentral.
GUAGUCUGCAACUCGACUACAUGAAGCUGGAAUCGCUAGUAAUCGCAGAUCAGAAUGCUGCGGUGAAUACGUUCCCGGGUCUUGUACACACCGCCCGUCACACCAUGGGAGUCGGAAAUGCCCGAAGCCGGUGACCAAACCAAUAAGGAAGGAGCCGUCGAAGGCAGGUCUGAUAACUCGGGGUGAAGUCGUAACAAGGUAGC